GUCCAGACCCCUGACCUCUGCCCAGGGGCAGAACUCAGGAAGGUGCACCCUGCAGAUUCAGGGAUGUGUGCCUGCAGCAGAGGGUGUGCCCCGCGUGCUGCAGGGAUUCUGGCAUGUGUGGUCAGAGUCGCUCUCCUUUGAAAGGCACUUCUCUUUCUACAUGAACACAGCCACCCUCAUUUCCCCUGACCCCCCAAACCGGAAGAGUAGACCUGCGACACACUGUCUGUCGAAACUCGCCCGUGUGCAGACGCUCAGACGCAGCCACUCUGCAGCGCCCUGUGCUGAUCAGACUGUCCCCUGUUUUAAUACGACAUCGUGCCCCAGUUCCCAGGAGGAAGGGGCAUGCAUGCCACCCACCAGGGCCUCAUGGGGAAGCCCUAGAGGCUGAAAGAGAUGGAGUGAAGGAAAAAAGUGGGCAAGAACCUUUACUGUAUCGUCCAUGAGAAGGAACAGGUUUUUCGGCCAGACCUGGAAGCAGCUCCAUCCAUUCCUGGUCACACAGUGCUGGCUAGACUUCAUCCCAGGACACACCUAACUUCAAGGGAGUCUGGAGAGACCAUCUCGUCUCACUGGGACCUCAGGAAGUCAGGACACGGUGCUGGAAGCAGGAGGGUCAGAGAGAGGGAAGGAGCGGAGACCACGCAAGCAGGAGUCCUGGUCAGAGGGAGUUUGGAGAAGCUCCAGGGCUCCUUGAAGACGGAGGAAGGGGCCACAAGCAGAGGAAUGCAGAUGGCCUUUGGCGCUGCAAAAGGUAAUGGAAUGGAUCCUGCCCUGGAGCCCCCAGAAGGAACACAGCCCUUGGUUUUAGCCCAGGUUAGCUGAUUGCAGACUCCUGACACCCUGACGUGUAGAAUAUUAAGGUGUGUUGUUUGGUGCCCUUAGUGAGGAGGCAUUUGUUCCAGCAGCAAUUGCAAGCUUUUGGGAAAAACAGCCUCCAAUCCCAAGCCUGAAGGGCGUUAGCCAGAUGAAGGAGUGAAGCUCAGAUCAAGGACACUGUCCUUCAGCUGAUGGGACCUCUGGUGUUUGGCGAGUGCAUGGCGUCCAGUAGGAAUGGAAAACGGAGAACUUUAGUUCCUCUGAGUGGGACCUAAAGCUUGUGCCCUGGGGUCUCAUCACCGCCUUUGCCAGGCCACACGUGUCCGUGUGCGGGUGUGUGCAUGUGUGCGUUCCUACAGUGUGUGU
This is a long non-coding RNA of Phacochoerus africanus (Common warthog), 1185 nucleotides long. RefSeq lists it as uncharacterized. Lineage: Eukaryota; Metazoa; Chordata; Mammalia; Artiodactyla; Suidae. The record is from RefSeq and is a predicted model, not a curated record. The transcript is spliced from 4 exons.